RNAcentral lists this ribosomal RNA (368 nucleotides) under uncultured organism. RNAcentral's name for it is "bacterial LSU rRNA". It matches the Rfam family "Bacterial large subunit ribosomal RNA", at positions 2099 to 2465 of the family's 2925-position model. The record is from RNAcentral.
CUUUACUGUAGCCUGGAAUUGUGUUCGGGCUUGGCUUGCGCAGGAUAGGUGGGAGGCGAUGAAGUAUUCCUUGUGGGGAGUAUGGAGCCAACGGUGAGAUACCACUCUGGCGAAGCUAGAAUUCUAACCCAUGACCAUUAUCUGGUCAGGGAACAGUUUCAGGUGGGCAGUUUGACUGGGGCGGUCGCCUCCUAAAAGGUAACGGAGGUGCGCAAAGGUUCCCUCAGCACGCUUGGAAACCGUGCGACGAGUGUAAAGGCAUAAAGGGAGCUUGACUGCAAGACUGACAAGUCGAGCAGGUACGAAAGUAGGCCUUAGUGAUCCGACAGCGCUGAAUGGAAGGGCCGUCGCUCAACGGAUAAAAGUUA